Molecule: ribosomal RNA, 209 nt
Filed under: uncultured bacterium
Lineage: Bacteria
Description: partial 16S ribosomal RNA
Rfam family: Bacterial small subunit ribosomal RNA
Source: RNAcentral
GUCUCAGUUCGGAUUGGAGUCUGCAACCCGACUCCAUGAAGCUGGAUUCGCUAGUAAUCGCGCAUCAGCCACGGCGCGGUGAAUACGUUCCCGGGCCCUUGUACACACCGCCCGUCAAGCCAUGGAAGCCGGGGGUGCCUGAAGUGCGCUGCCGCAAGGAGCGUCCUAGGGUAAAACCGGUGACUGGGGCUAAGUCGUAACAAGGUACC